Molecule: ribosomal RNA, 465 nt
Filed under: uncultured bacterium
Lineage: Bacteria
Description: partial 16S ribosomal RNA
Rfam family: Bacterial small subunit ribosomal RNA
Source: RNAcentral
CCUACGUGGAGCAGCAGUGGGGAAUAUUGCGCAAUGGGCGAAAGCCUGACGCAGCGACGCCGCGUGAGGGAUGAAGGUCUUCGGAUCGUACACCUCUGUCUGCAGGGAAGAACGGUCACUGUGCUAAUCAGCAGUGCAUUGACGGUACCUGCAACGGAAGCACCGGCUAACUCCGUGCAAGCAGCCGCUGUAAUACGGAGGGUGCGAGCGUUAAUCGGAAUUAAUGGGCGUACAGCGCUCGUAGGCGGUAUGUCAAGGCACGGGUGAAAUCCCCGGGCUCAACGUGGGAACUGCCUUUGAAACUGGCAAACUGGAGUGUGUGAGAGGAUAGUGGAAUUCCAGGUGUAGGAGUGAAAUCCGUAGAUAUCUGGAGGAACAUCAGUGGCGAAGGCGACUAUCUGGCACAUAACUGACGCUGAGGAGCGAAAGCGUGGGUAGCAAACAGGAUUAGAUACCCUUGUAGUC